AUAUUCACACGUGGUGGUUUGUUGUCUGCGUGUUACAAAAAUGUAACAAUGCCCGUCUCGCAAAAGUUGGUGUGUCCCUUGCCCUAUGAUGUCGUUGCCAUGUUGGGUCAUGCAACUUUCUCCAGAUUCGUUGUCGAGGAACGUGUUGUAUCUCUACUUGUGAGGUGGUUUCAGUGUGUCCGUCGUCAACUCGAUUUUCUUAAAAACCUGAAAAACUGCAAGACGUUCAUGGUCCGGUCAUAUCAAAUGUUUGAGGACCUACCUGGAUCUGUUUGGGCCUACAACUACGUCCAUUCACUGAGCGGAUUUGGGAUUACCCAUCGAGGACUCGAAAAGAUAGGAGAGAACAAGGCCAGUUUCUUCGGUAAAAUUAUCCAG
This 378-nucleotide unclassified non-coding RNA is filed under the name Patiria miniata (bat star). RNAcentral's name for it is "uncharacterized LOC119743162, transcript variant X1". The record is from RNAcentral. Lineage: Eukaryota; Metazoa; Echinodermata; Asteroidea; Valvatida; Asterinidae.